Molecule: non-coding RNA, 74 nt
Organism: Pelobates cultripes (western spadefoot toad)
Lineage: Eukaryota; Metazoa; Chordata; Amphibia; Anura; Pelobatidae
Source: the annotation of a GenBank genome assembly
UGUGUGUGUGUGUGUGUAUGUAUCUAUAUAUAUAUAUAUAUAUAUAUAUAGAUACAUACACACACACACACAAA